This 561-nucleotide unclassified non-coding RNA is filed under the name Hevea brasiliensis (rubber tree). Lineage: Eukaryota; Viridiplantae; Streptophyta; Magnoliopsida; Malpighiales; Euphorbiaceae. The record is from RNAcentral.
GUUCCUGGAUAAAAUCAAAAUCUGCAGAUUUGCAAAAAUGUAAAUAUGGAUCACUGACACUUCCAGACCUUAUUAGCCCCAAGUCAGAAAUUGAUCAGUUCAAAUUUGAACACCAAUCUAUGUAAAAUGAGAAAGAUUAAUUGCUGGAAUUUUAUUAGUUAGAUGCCCAUAAAAUCAUUACACAAUACAAUCACAUAUACCCAGUUCAAAAUGUAAAAUGUCAGCUUCAAUGUUGGUAAUGCCACAUAAAAAUACCCAAGAAAUGGAUGUUCAAGAUCAAUAUAGUAUAAAAAUAGAUAAGGUUUUAUUUGAUUAAGAUUAACAGAUGCUUGCUGACAGAUCCUUCAAAGCAAAAUAAGCAUGUAUCUCUAUAAGUCAAAACAGAUCAGUUUCUGGAUUGUAUUGUUAUGUUUCAUGCAUCAUUAGAAAGUUAUUAGAAAUCAAAUAAGAAACAUGAAAGAGGACGACUCAAUUCUGAUAGUCCUGAGAAAAGGAAAUUUUAGAGUAAAAGCACAUAAAAAUAGCUUUUUUUUUUUUCACCUGAAACCCCUAGUGAGAAAA